GCAAUAACAGGUCUGUGAUGCCCUUAGA
This 28-nucleotide non-coding RNA is filed under the name Bombyx mori (domestic silkworm). RNAcentral also lists the same sequence under 8 other names. Lineage: Eukaryota; Metazoa; Arthropoda; Insecta; Lepidoptera; Bombycidae. The record is from RNAcentral.